This 301-nucleotide ribosomal RNA is filed under the name uncultured bacterium. Its description in RNAcentral is "partial 16S ribosomal RNA". It matches the Rfam family "Bacterial small subunit ribosomal RNA", at positions 509 to 810 of the family's 1533-position model. The record is from RNAcentral.
CAGCCGCCGCGGUAAUACGAGGGGGGCAAGCGUUGUUCGGAAUUAUUGGGCGUAAAGGGUGCGUAGGCGGUUUGGCAAGUUUGGUGUGAAAUCUUCGGGCUCAACUCGAAGUCUGCAUCGAAAACUGCCGGGCUUGAGUAUGGGAGAGGUGAGUGGAAUUUCCGGUGUAGCGGUGAAAUGCGUAGAUAUCGGAAGGAACACCUGUGGCGAAAGCGGCUCACUGGACCAUAACUGACGCUGAUGCACGAAAGCUAGGGGAGCAAACAGGAUUAGAACCCCCGUAGUCCCUGUCUCUUAUAUU